RNAcentral lists this ribosomal RNA (253 nucleotides) under uncultured bacterium. Its description in RNAcentral is "partial 16S ribosomal RNA". It matches the Rfam family "Bacterial small subunit ribosomal RNA", at positions 524 to 776 of the family's 1533-position model. The record is from RNAcentral.
GACGUAGGGCGCGAGCGUUGUCCGGAUUUAUUGGGCGUAAAGAGCUCGUAGGCGGCUUGUCGCGUCGUCCGUGAAAACCCACAGCUCAACUGUGGGCUUGCGGUCGAUACGGGCAGGCUAGAGUUCGGUAGGGGAGACUGGAAUUCCUGGUGUAGCGGUGAAAUGCGCAGAUAUCAGGAGGAACACCGGUGGCGAAGGCGGGUCUCUGGGCCGAUACUGACGCUGAGGAGCGAAAGCUAGGGGAGCGAACAGG